GGGUAAGUCCUAAACGACCAGCUCCCGCAGAAUCCCCCCAGGACCGGAAGGUAGCAAGGGUAUGCGGUUGUAGCGGUGCGAUUUAGAUCGCUUA
RNAcentral lists this signal recognition particle RNA (94 nucleotides) under Puteibacter caeruleilacunae. RNAcentral's name for it is "Prolixibacteraceae bacterium JC036 signal recognition particle sRNA small type". It matches the Rfam family "Bacteroidales small SRP", at positions 8 to 100 of the family's 107-position model. From Rfam's summary of the family: The non-coding component of the signal recognition particle in Bacteroides The record is from RNAcentral. Lineage: Bacteria; Pseudomonadati; Bacteroidota; Bacteroidia; Marinilabiliales; Prolixibacteraceae.